GCGGGGCCGCUGAGGGGCCCUGGUAGGCCCAGGGCCGGGGGCGGCCGCACGGUCGUGUCCCCUGCUCGGGGAACACGAAAUAAAGCAACUCCCAUCGGAGAAAUCAGAGAAUCGUGGAAGGGUUUGAGCUGGAAGCGACAUUGGAAAGUUGGACAGCGACACCUUCCACUAGACCAGGUUGCUCAAUGCCCCCCGUCCCACCCAACCUUGACCACUCUCAGGAAUUGGGCAUCCAGAGCUUCUCUGGGCCGCCUGCUCCGGUGCCUCACCACUGUCACAGUAAAGAAUUUCUUACUGAUGUCUGAUCUAAAGCUACUGCUGUCCAGUUUGAAGCCAUUCCUCCUUGUCCUGUCACUCCAUGCCCUUGUGAAAGGUCACUCUCUGGCUCUGUUGUAGCCCCUUUACGCACUGGGACGUGCUCAGGGUCUCCACAGAGUCUCCGAGCUGAACCUCACUCUUAGCCUGUCUGCAUAAGAGAGGUGCUGCAUCUCCUCUGCUCAUCUGGACUCGCUGGAAGGGAUCCAUGUGUGUAUUGUGUGGGGCUCCCCGCAGCACUCCAGGUGAGGUCUCAGCAGAGCAGAGCAAAGGAGCAGAAUCCCUUCCCUCAUCCUCCAGGCCACUCUGCUUUUGAUGCAGCCCAGGAUUGACAUGAGCUUCCUCUUUUCGCCACUACCCUGUGGUCCUUCCGUUUCUCAAGAGUGACUUUUCUUGGGCUAUGCACUUGUUGCAGUGCAACAAUGUCAAACAUGUCUGUCUAUCACAGCAUAACAAUAUUUAAGUGAGGAAUCUGUGAAACACGAUGGGACUUCAGGAGCUGGUGAAAUAAUAAUCAAAUCCAAUCACACUCAUAUGGAGCUAAAGAAGAUGAGAUCUUUCCAGUGGUAAAAUGGAGUUGAUUUUGAAGAGGGGAGAAAAAUCUGGUAGCUUCUCAGUAAAAUGAGAUUAAACCACUUUGACACUUUUGAAUAAAUCCAGGUGAAUUUGAAGCCAUUAAGAGACGGGGCUUUGAUUCAUUAAUCUGAUCUGUCAGUUCUGGCUAAAAGUAAAGAUCCUGUGAACUAAAGAGAUCAAACUGAGAUUUUUCUACUUGGUAAUAACUGAGGUCUCAUCCAGCAAUGAUGGUUAUUCCCUCAACAGUGAAAUGAAUUCUGGUGCAGCAGUAGCAUUCAAAAUCAUAGACAUCUGUCUGUAAAAACAUGUUCACAGCAGGAGCUGCUUUUCCCCAGUUUGAACAAGGGUUAUUACAGCUGUCAACAAAUUCUAAACUACUGGAGAGUGAACUUCUGCACUUUAUUUCCUUUGUUCAGUUUAUAAAUAAUCCUUGUGCCUGCUAAAAAUGCCCUUUCCUUCUGGUCCAGUCUGCACAGAUUGAGUUAAACUGUGUUUAACCCUUCUGGGUAUUUCAUGCUAGAGACCAAACACAAGAAGAGCCAUAGCCUUCAAGUUACUGCAACCAACACAAACCUUCUGGAGACUAAGAAAUGUAAAUUAAUAUACAUGAACCAACAGUUGCUGAAAAUUAAUACCAGACUAACAUAGUCAGAACUGCACCAAGGAGCAGAACAAGCUGAAGUGGCUAAUAGAAAGAAGGAUGGUAGACAAGGAGGCAGAUGGAAGCAGAAUUCUGUGACUGAAGAUACUGGAAUGAUGAUUUUAAGACUAGAGUAGAAUUUCUUCUUUCCAUUUAGUGCCAACUACACGAAACCCUUCACCCCAGGAGGAUCCUGCUUGAUGCAGCUGUAAGGUUAUUUUGGUCACAACAGAUUUGAAUACUAAUAAACACAGAGUACUCAGCAGUCCCUCUCAAAAGAGAAACUAGGAACCUCAGUGACGAAGAAUUCAUAAGUUCAGAAAUACAUGAAGGGAGCUUGGUAGCAAGCUGUGUGUCAGGAUGUAGCACUACAGAGGCAGUGAGAUAUGAAACCGAUGUGUGGAAGAUCAACAGUAGAUAAGUAUUUUAAAGUUGUAAACAUCAAGAGCUGUAGAACCAAGUGUUCUGUCUCUAGUCAUGUGGACAGCCCCAAAGGCCUGCCUUUCCCUGCUUGCACUCUGCAAAGCUAAACUCAGCAGUAGGGAAGGACAGAGGAUGAAAAGUUUUCCAAGGACUCCUCACAUGUCUUCUAACAAGGAGCUUGUGCGGAGCAUUCAGGAUGCAGGGAAGGGCCAGCAGAUGGCUGUAGAUGGCAGCGGCUGCCUGAAAUGGAGCAGGUCCCAGGAUGCCAGAGGAAACCCGGAGCAGGCUCACCCGAGUGAUUGAUACCAGGAAGUCAUCAUUCCCCCAGCCUGGGGAAGGAGGGAGUGCUGCAUUCAUAAGACCAGCAAAGAGAGCCACUGCUCCCAGCAUCUCCUGCAGACACAGUGCAGCAGGCACAAUAUAGGGCACAACAGAGAGCAGGGAAAUGGCAGCCCCUUUGCUGAGCCAGUGCUGCAGCAGAGCUGAUGGAGUAUCUGGGUCAGCGUGCAGCAAUUCUUCGCAGAUGACUGGGACCGACAGAGCCCAAGGCCAGCCUUGGCAGUAGAGCCAAGGGCUCCUUUUGUAACUGAAGGGAUGUAAAAUCUGCUCCCCCUUUCAAGCAGCAUUUGCAGGAGGGAACCCCGUGCUGCAGCCUCCGUCAGCUGGAACUAACGCCCGUCGGCUCCGCUCACCCAUCCCUGCUCAGCAGAGCACAGGCUGGGAAAUCAGCGUUGCCAUGGGAUUCGGCUACAAAAGGCCAAAAGAUGUGGAUGUCAACCAAGUAUCCAGAUAUGCAGGGAGGCUAUUUUCUGCUCUAACUAAACCUGAAGUGGAAGGUCUUCUCUAAAAAACAUCAUUUUGCUUUUUUACUCACAAGAGCAAUGUCAAAGUUACCUGGAGAAUUUUUUUUGUGUUUUAAAGCUCCUCACUUGGCUUUGAAGAUCUUUGUGUUUCAGGCAGGUUUUAGGAAAAGCUCAUUCAUGCAUUCCAACAUUUGGCUACUUUUUCCAAAUAUCCUGCUAGGCCUAAUGAGUGACAUUACCUUUGCUGACAGCCGCAGUGCCCUCAGAAGAGAUACAGCUUUGGAGACCAGCACACUGCCCACUGGGCAUACACAGAUCAUGUAUCAUGGGAUCUUUCCCCUUUCUGCUUCUAUGCCUCAACCCACUGGGACAGGAGCAUGAAAGGAUCAGUGCUUUCCUUAUAUAUCAUCCCUGAUCAUCAGUAAGACUGGCAGCUGUCUCUCAAGAUUUGUGCUAAACCCUUUGUUAGAGGUUGAUUCACACAGCCACAGCCUUCAAAGUCAAGUGGCACUGUUAGAUCAUCCUGUCGGGUAGCACAGGCCAUCAGGAUUUGUGCUGAUUUGUGUUUUGUUAAAACAUGUCCUUCAAAAAAGGAUAGUACACUUUUGAUUUGACAGCCACAGAAGAGGAAAGAUCUGUUACUCCCCUGUACUAACCAAAAUUUAGAAAGUCAUUCAGUUUUUUUUCCCAGAUGCUGAAAGCAUCAGGAUAAUUUUUCUGAUGAUCUUGAUUCCUGGCAGAAUACAAGUUUUGUGCUUAGGACCUAGACUGCUAAAAUGUGAUGCCAACCAGCUAACUAACCUUCCUUGCCACUCAAUGUUUAAAGACACAAUAUAGAAGAAGUACUUGACUUUCAGAAGUAAUAAUGAGGAAAGGUCAAGGCCAGAAGAAAUGUUGGUGUUUCUAGAAUAACAGCAGCUGCUUCUGCAUAUGCUUGAAAGGAGGGUGGAUAUUAACACAAGGAUUUUGAGGAAGUAGCUAUUUACUACUGGAAUUUUGGAUGACAGCUGCCACAUUAUAGGUGUUUAUCUAAUAAUAUUCACCCUAAUACUGGUAUGCUUUGUCUGAACCAGUCAGCCUAGAUCAGAUCACUCAUUUGUUUCUGCCAUAGCAGAACUUGCUAGAACAGCAUUUUUUUUAUUAUUAACAUUUCUGCUCAAAUCCUUCAUGUUCUGAUUCUGGAUAAUUUCCACUUCAAAAUGACAAUAUAGGGCAAAAGAUAAAAAGAUCUGGAGCAGAAAAUCCUUAAUUUAAAGGAGAAAGCAAGGAACAGAAAUGUGAAUGGAUGCAUUCUGGUCAUAAGGCAAGCCUGCUGGAACACCUGGGAACACACUGUGGACUCCUGACCCUCAGGCAUUUGUGUCCAGCUUUGCUCCAGCUGUACUUUGUGCCUUGGUGCUCAGCAUGGGAGAAGAAUCAGGAACCAUCCAGGCCAGGCAAAGUGACCAAGUCAUUGCUCAACCUGCCCACUUGUAUCUGGAGAAAUUCUUUCCUAACCAUCAGUCUUCUUGGGGUUUCAGUGGAAUUUUUGUCAGCAGAGCACCCAAUGUGUUGAAGGAUGUCAGAACAUGGGCUACUAAUGCACCACUGACAAAUUUAGGGCUGACAUCUGUUGGGGGCUGCUGAGCAAGAUGCACUCAGCCGACCCAUUGUCAAGAAGUGCUGCUGGCAUUUGUCCAUGCACCAGGAUAUUUUACAGAAUGUCAUCACUUGGUAAUGAAAUGCUCCCUGGUAACGAUGGCUCACAAACACAGAAAUAGCCUUUGCCCAUAAUAAAGUUUUGCAAAUAAUGCUUGCAGGAAGUGAUUCGCUACGAAUCAAUCAAGCAGAUCCCAGAAAUAAUGUGGCAGAUGGUAACUCGACAUUACUGCAACAUCACCAAACUACUUACUCGCACUUUAAACAACCAUUUGGACUCAGGUCUUUAAAGAAAAACAUUCACUCUCACUCUACAGCUGGUUGAAGCUGAAUUGUCACCCCACAGAAAAUUCUAUCCUUAGAAGUCAGUAAAAGGCAGGAUAAAAUUAAGUCUGAAAUGUCCUUCAAUACAAAAGAAAAAAAAAUCAGUUAUCAAGACUAUUUUGAUGCCUUCAGGCUAUAUGCCCUUUCUUUAUUUUUAGCUAUGUUAGGCUACAAACAAAUAAAAAAAUUAAAUAUAAAAUUAACACAAUCUUUGUUCUGAGUGAUAUGUACAAAGAAAAUUUAACAAAAUAGAUUUGAAAAAGAAAAUGCUGGAAAGAACAAACACCUUCCUGCUUGCAUUUUGAUUUUUUGUCCUAUGGAUAUAAAAGUUUGUUGAAAUCAUCAUGUCUCCGUUUUUCAUGCCCUAGAACCUUCUACCAGGAAAAAUUUCCACCGGAACAGUUUUGAUUAGGUCUCUCUAGGUUGUGACCAGGUACACUCAAGUUACAGUGGUUUAAAAAGUUACUCAUCGUGAGGUGCACUUUCUUAUUUGCAAAGUAAAACCCAUUAUCUUACAUUGUACGCCUAACUUACUGAGAUUUAAAAUUAUUAAUUAAGUUUUCUGUUUAUACCUGCAUAUUCUUUCAUCACUGUAUGAAGACUUGUUGCAUGCCACAGAGCAGGCAGCCCUGAUUUAUUGACUACAGUAUCAAUGCAGUUCUUAAACAACAGCUUUACAUACAGAAGGAGAUUUUUCACUCUCCUCUUCCAUGCGCAUCAUUGCACUCUGAAACCUUUCCAGAAAUGAGGUUAGCCAAGCCACU
This is a long non-coding RNA of Passer domesticus (house sparrow), 5483 nucleotides long. RefSeq lists it as uncharacterized. The record is from RefSeq and is a predicted model, not a curated record. The transcript has 9 exons. NCBI's taxonomy places the organism in Eukaryota, Metazoa, Chordata, Aves, Passeriformes, Passeridae.